Notothenia coriiceps (black rockcod) is the source of this 93-nucleotide long non-coding RNA. RefSeq lists it as uncharacterized. The record is from RefSeq and is a predicted model, not a curated record. The transcript is spliced from 2 exons. Lineage: Eukaryota; Metazoa; Chordata; Actinopteri; Perciformes; Nototheniidae.
UGCAUGAAGUCUGUUGAUGAUCAGAGGCUGUUGUCGGGGCAGACCACGCAGGCCAGCCCGAUGGUCACCAAGGUUCAUGUUUUAAUAGCAUUU